This 468-nucleotide ribosomal RNA is filed under the name uncultured bacterium. RNAcentral's name for it is "partial 16S ribosomal RNA". It matches the Rfam family "Bacterial small subunit ribosomal RNA", at positions 28 to 507 of the family's 1533-position model. The record is from RNAcentral.
GACGAACGCUGGCGGCGUGCUUAACACAUGCAAGUCGAACGGAAAGGCCCUGCUUUUGUGGGUUGCUCGAGUGGCGAACGGGUGAGUAACACGUGAGUAACCUGCCCUUGACUUUGGGAUAACUUCAGGAAACUGGGGCUAAUACCGGAUAGGAGCUCCUGCUGCAUGGUGGGGGUUGGAAAGUUUCGGCGGUUGGGGAUGGACUCGCGGCUUAUCAGCUUGUUGGUGGGGUAGUUGCGUACCAAGGCUUUGACGGGUAGCCGGCCUGAGAGGGUGAACAGGCACCAGAGUCCUGAGAUACGGAGCAGACGCCUACGGGAGGCAACGGUGGGGAGUAUGACACAAUGGGCGGAAGCCUGAGGCAGCGGCGUUGCGUGCGGAAUGACGUCUUUCGGGGUGAGAACCGCUGUCGCCUGUGACGAAGCGUGAGUGACGGUAAUGGGUAAAGAAGCACCGGCUAACUACGUG